CCUACGGGUGGCAGCAGUGGGGAAUAUUCGGCAAUGGGCGCAAGCCUGACCCAGCAACGCCGCGUGAAGGAAGAAGGCUUUCGGGUUGUAAACUUCUUUUGUCAGGGACGAAGCAAGUGACGGUACCUGACGACUAAGCCACGGCUAACUACGUCCCAGCAGCCGCGGUAAUUCGUUGGUGGCAAGCGUUAUCCGGCUUUACUGGGUGUAAAGGGCGUGUAGGCGGGGAAGUAAGUCAGAUGUGAAAACCAUGGGAUCAAACGAUGGCAUGCAUUUGAAACUGUUUUUCUUGAGUGCUGGAGAGGCAAGUGGAAUUCCGUGUGUAGCGGUGAAAUGCGUAGAUAUACGGAGGAACACCAGUGGCGAAGGCGGAUUGCUGGACAGUAACUGACGCUGAGGCGCGAAAGCGUGGGGAGCAAACAGGAUUAGAUACCCGAGUAGUC
This 443-nucleotide ribosomal RNA is filed under the name uncultured bacterium. Its description in RNAcentral is "partial 16S ribosomal RNA". It matches the Rfam family "Bacterial small subunit ribosomal RNA", at positions 338 to 795 of the family's 1533-position model. The record is from RNAcentral.